GCGAAGGCACUCCGACGCUCAAGUCAGUAAAGCGGGUGGUCAGCUCUCAGAGUGAUAAAUGACAUACCUUACUCCUUGGGAUGCGUACUAUUUAUAUUAUUCUAGUGGGCCUACCUUGUUGGGCCCAUUUAUCGAGGUGGACACCUCUUAGGUUUGCAUUACCUAAUUCUUAAUGAUAGAUUAGCUUCACUGAUCUUGGUUUGAGCGUUAACUGUAAUAGGGGUCGGCCAUCGGCCAAAUCAUCAUGGCAUGGGUCGGCCAUCGGCCAUGUUCCAGUGGUCUCGGUCGUCUCGGCCAAGUCUUCUAAGGUCUCGGCCUCUCAGUCGUCUCGGCCUCUCGGCCAAGUCUUCUAAGGUCUCGGCCCCUCGGCCUCUCGGCCAAGUCUUCUAAGGUCUCGGCCUCUCGGCCAAGUCUUCUAAGGUCUCGGCC
This 429-nucleotide long non-coding RNA is filed under the name Phaseolus vulgaris (common bean). RNAcentral describes it as "long non-coding RNA (PVUL_LNC003208)". The record is from RNAcentral. Lineage: Eukaryota; Viridiplantae; Streptophyta; Magnoliopsida; Fabales; Fabaceae.